RNAcentral lists this unclassified non-coding RNA (645 nucleotides) under Crepis sancta. Its description in RNAcentral is "sequence contains ITS1, 5.8S rRNA gene and ITS2". The stretch from base 258 to 413 matches the Rfam family "5.8S ribosomal RNA". Lineage: Eukaryota; Viridiplantae; Streptophyta; Magnoliopsida; Asterales; Asteraceae. The record is from RNAcentral.
UCGAACCCUGCUAAGCAGAACGACCCGUGAACAUGUAAAUACAACAGGUGAUGGGGAGAUGGGCCUUGGUCUUGAUCCUCAAAACCACCUGACGUGCAAUCGUGGUGUCUCUUUUGAGGCAGCAUGGAUGUUUCGUUGGGACUCUAACAAACCCCGGCACGGAAUGUGCCAAGGAAAACAAAAAAUGAGAAGGACUCGUCCUGUUAUGCCCCGUUUGCGGUGUGCGUACUGGUCGUGGCCUCCUUGGAAUCAUAAACGACUCUCGGCAACGGAUAUCUCGGCUCACGCAUCGAUGAAGAACGUAGCAAAAUGCGAUACUUGGUGUGAAUUGCAGAAUCCCGUGAACCAUCGAGUUUUUGAACGCAAGUUGCGCCCGAAGCCAUCUGGUUGAGGGCACGCCUGCCUGGGCGUCACGCAUCGCGUCGCCCCCCACUAUCACUCUCCAAACGGGGAGUUUUGGUGCUUGGGGGCGGAGAUUGGUCUCCCGUGCUAGUUUUAGUGUGGUUGGCCUAAAUAUGAGUCCCCUUCGGUGGAUACACGGCUAGUGGUGGUUGAAUAGACCCUCGUGUUGUGUCGUGUAUUGUGAGCUGCUAGGGUAACCCUCAUCAAAGACCCCAUUGUAUCGUCUUGCGACGAUGCUUCGAU